UGAUGUCUGAACCAAACCCAUCAAAUACACCGUCCUUAGUUCCUUACAACAUCGCCCUCGGCUCAGCUGCUCUUCCGUCGCGGCGUUGAUCGCCAGUCGCAGGUACCUCUGUGCCUCGUUGAGUCGCUUCUCGCUCACCGCCCGCCUCCGCAGUCCUCGACUCCUCGGAUCGCCCUCGUCCGCCGGUCGCCGCCCUCCGCAGUCCGCGCCUCGCAAACAGAUGAGGACUGAGGUGAAGCCCAGAUGAUACAGACAUCUUAGAGGUUCGUCACAUACACACUUCAAUUCGUACGUGAUAUCUCUACAGGCUCGUGGGUUUGAGUAACGACAGCCGACGUAUAGUUACGCAAGGAAAGAAUACGUUAUCGGCAAAAUCUUCAGAACUUUGGUGGCAAUGAUUCCGGUGAGCUUGCGUGUAGUAAAACUGAGAAGCAGAGUGAAUAUUUUUACAGAUGUUCGUGUCCACCAGCUUGGGGAUCAAGUCAUCAGGGCAAAGGUCUAUCUUUUGCUCUGUGGAACAAGAAGUAACCCUCACUUCAUAAGAGAACUCGGCCUUCGAAUUAAGCAAGUUGAGAAAACACUCCGAGAAGCUACAAAGGAUUCUGAUCUUCUAAGAACCAAAAACGACGGGAGAUAACUCGCAGGUAAACUCAAAAACGUCUGGCCGUUUGCCGUUGUCUCCACCUCCUUCCAGCUUGGUUUUCUGACUGCGUCCCCCGAUCAGCGCAUCUCUACAGUUUCGUGGGUUUUAGUGUUGAUGUACUUCCACGCGAUGAUAAUAUAUUAUCAUUGUAUAUUUGUAUUAUUAAUGUGCUGAUAACAUUAUCUUUCCUCAUCUAUUUUGUUUCUUUUACCUAAAAUUAUUGCUUUUAUUAUUCUUAGUGGUCACCUAGCAAUCAUCUUUCCAUUCACACUAUGUACCUAUAUAUAUUUGUGUUCCUUGUGCUGUUGUAGACGAAGAGAGAGAGACAUGAAAAUAUAUGUUUGUUUCUUUCA
Long non-coding RNA from Ipomoea triloba (trilobed morning glory), 996 nucleotides. RefSeq lists it as uncharacterized. The transcript is spliced from 4 exons. The record is from RefSeq and is a predicted model, not a curated record. NCBI's taxonomy places the organism in Eukaryota, Viridiplantae, Streptophyta, Magnoliopsida, Solanales, Convolvulaceae.